Molecule: ribosomal RNA, 463 nt
Filed under: uncultured bacterium
Lineage: Bacteria
Description: partial 16S ribosomal RNA
Rfam family: Bacterial small subunit ribosomal RNA
Source: RNAcentral
GAUGAACGCUGACAGAAUGCUUAACACAUGCAAGUCGAUGGGGAAGUGGUGCUUGCACCAUGGUAACCAUGGCGGACGGGUGAGUAACGCGUAAGGAACUUGCCUGCGGGACUGGGAUAACAGCAGGAAACUGCUGAUAAUACCGGAUAAGGUCAUUAAGCUGCAUAGCUUAGUGAUGAAAGGAGACGCCUGCGGAGAGCCUUGCGUCCUAUUAGCUAGUUGGAGGGGUAACGGCCCACCAAGGCGAAGAUAGGUAGCCGGCCUGAGAGGGUGGACGGCCACAAGGGGAAUGAGAUACGGCACUUACUCCUACGGGAGGCAGCAGUGGGGAAUAUUGGACAAUGGGGGCAACCCUGAUCCAGCAAUUCUGUGUGCACGAAGACGGUUUUCGGAUGGUAAAGUGCUUUCAGCAGGGAAGAAGGAAGUGACGGUACCUGCAGAAGAAGCGACGGCUAAAUACGUG